This is an RNA transcript of Manis pentadactyla (Chinese pangolin), 3475 nucleotides long. It is a transcript of the gene named transmembrane protein 44, with no coding region annotated. Lineage: Eukaryota; Metazoa; Chordata; Mammalia; Pholidota; Manidae. The transcript is spliced from 12 exons. The record is from RefSeq and is a predicted model, not a curated record.
CUGGGCCGAGCGGCGGAGCCGACCCCAGCGAAGGGGGCGCGAGCGGCAGCGCCCGGGGCUGCCCGCAGCUGGGGUGACUGCGCCCGAGUCCUGGCCACGCGGAGGUUCGGGCACUGGGCCGGGCGGAGCCGAGCCGUGCCAUGGGGGAGGCGCCCAGCCCUGCGCCGGCGCCCGCGCUCUGGGACUGGGACUACCUGGACCGCUGCUUCGCCCGACACCGCGUCUGCAUCUCCUUCGGCCUGUGGAUCUGCGCCUCCUCCUGCUGGAUCGCCGCCCACGCGCUGCUUCUCUACCUGAGAUGUGCAAAGAAAUCUGGACAGGACCCGUCAGUGCUGUGUGCUGCAUGCUGUCUCCUGACCAGCCUGUGUGACACCACUGGGGCCAUUCUGGCCAGACAGCUUACUAUCCAGGUUUUCACUGGUGCCUACCUAGCAGCUGUUGACUUGGCGAACUUUGUGUUCAUUCUCUUCCCACUCUGCGGCUCCAAAUUCAAGUCUAAUUCGUGUCGGAGCUCCCGGGAGAGGAAGAGGAGGCAGCAGCUGAGAGCCAGCGUAUUUGCCCUGGCCCUGCCACUGAGCCUGGGCCCAGGUUGGGCCCUCUGGGCCGCUGUCCCAAAAGCUUCAGGCCCCAUUCAAGGGCCACAACGAAGGUUGCUGGGAAGCCUGCUGCAGGACAACACUGAAAUCCUCGGCUACCUGCUGGGUGGCAUUGCCUCCUUUGGCUCCUGGGCUUCCCGGAUCCAUCCACUCUCCAGAAUCUGCCGGGGUAAGGCUUUUCCCUCCAUCCACCUGUGGACCCGCCUCCUGUCGGCCCUAGCUGGCCUCCUUUAUGCCUCGGCCAUUGUGGCCCAUGACCAGCGGCCUGAGUACCUACUUCGGGCUACACCCUGGCUCCUGACCUCCCUCGGCCGUGCAGCUCUGGACCUCUCUAUCAUUCUCCUUUCCUGGGCGAUGAGAAGCAAGAUGCGGCAGGCCUUGGGGUUUGCCUCUGAAGCCGGAGAGAGCCCCGACACCCAGGCCCUUUUGACCAGUGCAGAGAAAGAGGAAGAAAACCAGGAGGCAAGGAACGAGAAUUCAGACUGGGUGCCUCUCACCACACUCCCACACUGCGGCUCCCUCAGGACAAUGGCAGCCAUCAGUCACUACUUGGAGCUGACCGUCGAGCCAGUGCAGCAGGCUGCAGUGCCAUCAGGCUGCCUGGCGACGGACAGAGGAGCGCUGGAGACGCAUGCCUGCAGGAGCCGCCCUCGUACCCUCCGGUUCAGGUCAUCCGGGCCUGCAUGUCUUCCAGCAGCUCCUCUGAGGUCUCCUCCAUCAACUCUGACCUCGAGAGAACCAGGACUGGAGCUGUCCCUUGGGUGGAGGAUUAUAAGAGAUGGGAAGUGUCUGUUCCACCAAGAUGCUGUCUGUUUUUUUCUCCAUAGUGGGACCCUGAAGAUGUAAACCUUGAAGGGAACAAAGACAACGUGGAGUUGCUCAGAUCCCAGGUGCACAGGUGCUCUAUGAGGCCAAUGGACUUGACCUCUGAUGAGUAAUACCUUCUGAAGCCAGCCUAUCACAGUUCUGAGCCCAAGGUCAAGUAUUUGUCAGGAACUGAGCAGGGAUCAACCUCCAAUAACACCCGUGGCAGAAAUCUAGGCAUCUGCAGAGGCUGCCUGUGAAAGUGAAGAACCAGGAGCUGUUACUGAGCUUGGCUGGUUUGCAUCAUGGCUCAGAAUGGAGUUAAAGCUUCGGGUCCUAUGAACAGACCUGGACAUGCCUAGAGUUUUUUCUGAAGAUUAGAAGUUUGACCACUCUUAUUUUGAAACUUAAACCUUCAUGUAAAGGACAUUGGACUCUCUUUUCCCUUUCCCUUUAGAUCCAGCCAUACUCUGAAUAUCUGCAGAGUGCCACAAAAGAGUCCAUCUAACAAAUAGUUAUAUGUUUGGAUCUCAGAAGAACCUCAUUCUGCAAGACCUGGUUAAGUCCAGGAGAUGAGAGGGGUGGGCCCAUGUGCUUGGGGUCUAGGACACAAUCACUGAUGGGCCCUGCCUCCUGCCCUCCAGUCACCCACUUGAGUUUCCUGCUGGAAGUUAGAAAUAAGACUGCUGGAUCAAUCAAGUAUUUGUGAGAUCACUUGUACUGCAAAGGCAAGCAAAGCAAACUGCUCUAGGAACCAGGACAUAUGCCAACCUGGCAAUGUUUGUACUCGGGCAGGGUUUGCAGGUGAAGGGGACUGUCUGCUUCAGGAGGUAACUGAAAGCAAGAGACAUGGCAGGAAGUGUUAAAUUCAAAAAUAGCAAUCCCAUUUUAGGAUUAUUUUGACACUAUGAUCAUGGGAGAGGGGCAGGGUGGGAGAAACACUGGAGUAAAUAAAUCCUGAUGGAGUGAACUAUAACAUCUCACUGUGAAGCAGAAAUGUGUCUGAAUCCCAGGACAGCCACAGAAGUUGGCCACAAAGGGAACUGAGACAAAUGCUAAGAAAUAGAGCUCUGUUCCUGGAUGGACCCUGGCAGUCUGUGUGACUCAGCCGCACCUGCCCAGUCUCUCCUAAUGGAUAGUGCAAGUCCCUGCAGCAUGAAGCAUGGGGUCGGUCCCUCAGGGAAACAGGUCCAUGCUUUGGCAGGGGAGGCUCUGCCUUAAGCCAACCCAAGAUUUGAUAGAAGCUGAAGAUCUGAAGAAGUUUUAAGAACGUGAGUGUGUGGCACUAUCCCAAAAGUCAUCCCAUCAGCCAAACAAGGCACCAGGCAUCCAGGGCUGCUUCUUGGAGGGGCCGAUGCUUCAUUCUACAGAAUGUUAAAUGCCUUCAGAUUAACUUCAAGUUAACUUGGUCUGUCUCUUGAGAACUCAGCGUACCUUCCCCAUUCCGUUGGAAAAUUUCCACAGCUGCCGGUAUUGGCAGCAGAGGGCCGGAUCUUGUCUUCCUGGUCCUCGUGGUCUGUAACGAUGAUUGCUGCGGGGCUUAAUCCCUAUCCGGAGUCGGGGGCAACUGGCCCCUCUUCAACAUGCUUUGGGUUCACCUACGACCUCUCGAUGGGGCAGUAAGUGGUCUCCCCUAAUUGCGAAGGGGUUUGGAGGCACCGUCAGAAUUGAGUCCUGGUUUGCGACGACCUGACCUCUUUCUCGGAAAAGCUGCCACACCCGCGAGCCCUGGGGGGGCAUUCAACCACUGCCCGAGGACUUCCGGUAAGAGAGGAAACGUGAGAUUGGCGCGUGCGCACUACGGAGCUGCCGCCUCGCGAAUCUCACGAGUGCAGCGCCGCCGCGGCCGCGCGCCCUGCCCCUCGGGAGUUCCUGGCUCGGCGCAGGCGCCCCCGCGGCUGGAGGACUAUCUGGAGCAGCUUCUCGUGUACGUUGCGCUGCGCUGAUUUUUAAGGGGAUAAUUCCAAUGUUAUUUUACUGUUCUUAACGUGUUUUGAGACGGCUGAACAUCCUUUAUAUGGUGUAUUGCAAAUCAUUCUCUGUGUUUAAAUACAUUUUAUGGUUUUUGAAGUAAA